RNAcentral lists this ribosomal RNA (253 nucleotides) under uncultured bacterium. Its description in RNAcentral is "partial 16S ribosomal RNA". It matches the Rfam family "Bacterial small subunit ribosomal RNA", at positions 524 to 776 of the family's 1533-position model. The record is from RNAcentral.
GACGAACCGAGCGAACGUUAUUCGGAAUCACUGGGCUUAAAGGGCGCGUAGGCGGCUUGCCAAGUCAGGGGUGAAAUCUUUCGGCUCAACCGGAAAAGUGCUUCUGAUACUGGCGGGCUGGAGGGAGGUAGGGGCAGAUGGAACUUCCGGUGGAGCGGUGAAAUGCGUAGAUAUCGGAAGGAACGCCGGUGGCGAAAGCGAUCUGCUGGACCUCUUCUGACGCUGAGGCGCGAAAGCCAGGGGAGCAAACGGG